Molecule: unclassified non-coding RNA, 365 nt
Filed under: Hevea brasiliensis (rubber tree)
Lineage: Eukaryota; Viridiplantae; Streptophyta; Magnoliopsida; Malpighiales; Euphorbiaceae
Source: RNAcentral
UCCAGCCCAUGAUCCUGUAUGUCCUGAAAUUACAAACAAUUUGACACUCAUACCACGUUAUUUUAAAGAAAUUAGAUAGAAAAACACAUGAGGUUGACUCAGUGACAUGGCCAAAUUUUUGGCAAUUAAUGAAAAGAACUUCCGGUUAGAAACCAUGUCAACAUUAAAACAAGAAUGAGAAUGCAACAAUUACUAGAUCACACAUUAUAUCAACACCAAGAAUCACAAUUAUACAAGUAUUACUAUAUUUGCACAAGUUAAUGGCAUUCUACAAACUUCAUUAAGAUUUAGAAAACAUUACAUAAAAGAAAUAUCAACUUAGAUCCAAAAUUUUAAGAAUAUCAACUUAGAUCCAAAAUUUUAAG